CCCCCCAAAACUUUCAACAACGGAUCUCUUGGUUCUGGCAUCGAUGAAGAACGCAGCGAAAUGCGAUAAGUAGUGUGAAUUGCAGAAUUCAGUGAAUCAUCGAAUCUUUGAACGCACAUUGCGCCCUUUGGUAUUCCUUAGGGCAUGCCUGUUCGAGCGUCAUUUAACCCUUCAAGCAUUGCUUGGUGUUGGGCGCUUGUCCCGCCUCGGGCGCGGACUCGCCUUAAAAACAUUGGCGGCCUGUGUAUUGGCUUCGAGCGCAGCAGAUUCGCGCCUUCGACCCAGCACAUUGGCAUUCCAGCAAGCUCUUUCACCCAAUUUUGACCUCGGAUCAGGUAGGGAUACCCGCUGAACUUAAGCAUAUCAAUAAGCGGAGGAA
Molecule: ribosomal RNA, 379 nt
Filed under: uncultured organism
Description: eukaryotic LSU rRNA
Rfam family: 5.8S ribosomal RNA (bases 9-162)
Source: RNAcentral